RNAcentral lists this ribosomal RNA (999 nucleotides) under uncultured bacterium. RNAcentral describes it as "bacterial SSU rRNA". It matches the Rfam family "Bacterial small subunit ribosomal RNA", at positions 355 to 1375 of the family's 1533-position model. The record is from RNAcentral.
UGAGGGAUAUUGGGCAAUGGGGGAAACCCUGACCCAGCAACGCCGCGUGAGGGAUGACGGUUUUCGGAUUGUAAACCUCUGUCCUCUGUGAAGAUAGUGACGGUAGCAGAGGAGGAAGCUCCGGCUAACUACGUGCCAGCAGCCGCGGUAAUACGUAGGGAGCAAGCGUUGUCCGGAUUUACUGGGUGUAAAGGGUGCGUAGGCGGAUUGGCAAGUCAGAAGUGAAAUCCAUGGGCUUAACCCAUGAACUGCUUUUGAAACUGUUAGUCUUGAGUGAAGUAGAGGUAGGCGGAAUUCCCGGUGUAGCGGUGAAAUGCGUAGAUAUUAGGAGGAACACCAGUGGCGAAGGCGGCCUACUGGGCUUUAACUGACGCUGAGGCACGAAAGUGUGGGUAGCAAACAGGAUUAGAUACCCUGGUAGUCCACACUGUAAACGAUGAUUACUAGGUGUGGGGGGUCUAACCCCCUCCGUGCCGGAGUUAACACAAUAAGUAAUCCACCUGGGGAGUACGACCGCAAGGUUGAAACUCAAAGGAAUUGACGGGGGCCCGCACAAGCAGUGGAGUAUGUGGUUUAAUUCGACGCAACGCGAAGAACCUUACCAGGUCUUGACAUCCAACUAACGAAGCAGAGAUGCGUUAGGUGCCCUUCGGGGAAAGUUGAGACAGGUGGUGCAUGGUUGUCGUCAGCUCGUGUCGUGAGAUGUUGGGUUAAGUCCCGCAACGAGCGCAACCCUUGUGAUUAGUUGCUACGCAAGAGCACUCUAAUCAGACUGCCGUUGACAAAACGGAGGAAGGUGGGGACGACGUCAAAUCAUCAUGCCCUUUAUGACCUGGGCUACACACGUACUACAAUGGUCGUUAACAGAGGGAAGCAAUACCGCGAGGUGGAGCAAAACCCUAAAAACGGUCUCAGUUCAGAUUGUAGGCUGCAACUCGCCUACAUGAAGUUGGAAUUGCUAGUAAUCGCGGAUCAGCAUGCCGCGGUGAAUACGUUCCC